This 400-nucleotide ribosomal RNA is filed under the name uncultured bacterium. Its description in RNAcentral is "bacterial SSU rRNA". It matches the Rfam family "Bacterial small subunit ribosomal RNA", at positions 356 to 773 of the family's 1533-position model. The record is from RNAcentral.
GGGGAAUAUUGCACAAUGGACGGAAGUCUGAUGCAGCAACGCCGCGUGGAGGAUGACACAUUUCGGUGCGUAAACUCCUUUUAUAUAAGAAGAUAAUGACGGUAUUAUAUGAAUAAGCACCGGCUAACUCCGUGCCAGCAGCCGCGGUAAUACGGGGGGUGCAAGCGUUACUCGGAAUCACUGGGCGUAAAGAGCAUGUAGGCGGAUUGAUAAGUUUGAAGUGAAAUCCUAUAGCUUAACUAUAGAACUGCUUUGAAAACUCCUAAUCUAGAAUGUGGGAGAGGUAGAUGGAAUUUCUGGUGUAGGGGUAAAAUCCGUAGAGAUCAGAAGGAAUACCGAUUGCGAAGGCGAUCUACUGGAACAUUAUUGACGCUGAGAUGCGAAAGCGUGGGGAGCAAAC